Molecule: ribosomal RNA, 430 nt
Filed under: uncultured bacterium
Lineage: Bacteria
Description: bacterial SSU rRNA
Rfam family: Bacterial small subunit ribosomal RNA
Source: RNAcentral
GGGCCCGCACAAGCGGUGGAGCAUGUGGUUUAAUUCGAUGAUACGCGAGGAACCUUACCAGGGCUUAAAUGUAGUCUGACAGGGGUGGAAACACCCCCUCCUUCGGGCAGAUUACAAGGUGCUGCAUGGUUGUCGUCAGCUCGUGCCGUGAGGUGUCAGGUUAAGUCCUAUAACGAGCGCAACCCCUGCCGUUAGUUGCCAGCAUGUAAUGAUGGGAACUCUAACGGGACUGCCGGUGCAAACCGCGAGGAAGGUGGGGAUGACGUCAAAUCAUCACGGCCCUUACGUCCUGGGCUACACACGUGCUACAAUGGCCGGUACAGAGGGCAGCCACACCGCAAGGUGGAGCGAAUCCCAUAAACCGUGGCUCAGUUCAGAUCGUAGGCUGCAACUCGCCUACGUGAAGGCGGAAUCGCUAGUAAUCGCAGGU